RNAcentral lists this ribosomal RNA (624 nucleotides) under Triticum aestivum (bread wheat). RNAcentral describes it as "partial small subunit ribosomal RNA". The record is from RNAcentral. Lineage: Eukaryota; Viridiplantae; Streptophyta; Magnoliopsida; Poales; Poaceae.
AUGAUAAAUAGAUACUGGUGGAGCCAAGUGGAUAAAGAGAAUAAAAUACAUUGGGCUAGCUGGGAGAAGAUGACGAAGACGAAGAAAACAGGAGGCUUGGGAUUUAGGGAUCUACAUGCCUUCAAUCUGGCCAUGCUUGCAAGGCAAGCAUGGAGGCUCAUUCAAAACCCAGCUUCCUUAUGUGCGCAGGUCCUGUCAGCAAGAUACUAUUCAGAUGGCUCAGUUCUUCAAGCCAGGCCUAGAAGCGGCAUAUCCUACACAUGGCGCAGUAUACUAAAAGGAGUAGAUCUGCUCAAGAAAGGGAUCAUAUGGAGAGUAGGCAGUGGUAGCAACAUCAAUAUUUGGUCUGACCCCUGGAUUCCAAGAGGAAGUACUAGGAGAGUCAUCACACAGAGGGGUGGAAAUGUUGUAACUAAAGUAAAUGAUUUGAUUGAUCCUACCACAAACAAUUGGGAUGAAGACUUAGUUAGACAAACCUUUCUCCCUGAAGAUGCAAAUAUUAUUCUACAAAUCCCAAUUCAUACACAUGAAGAUGAUUGCAUAGCAUGGCACUAUGAUAAAAAAGGUAUAUUUUCGGUGAAAUCAGCUUAUAGAGUUGCUGUAGACACCACGGCUCGUGAAUCU